RNAcentral lists this unclassified non-coding RNA (89 nucleotides) under Pseudomonas thivervalensis. The record is from RNAcentral. Lineage: Bacteria; Pseudomonadati; Pseudomonadota; Gammaproteobacteria; Pseudomonadales; Pseudomonadaceae.
UGUGGGAGCGAGCUUGCUCGCGAUAGCGAUGUGUCAGUCAAUGAAGCCUUGGCUGACGAUCCGCUAUCGCGAGCAAGCUCGCUCCCACA